This 23-nucleotide microRNA is filed under the name Populus trichocarpa (black cottonwood). RNAcentral's name for it is "ptr-MIR476a". Lineage: Eukaryota; Viridiplantae; Streptophyta; Magnoliopsida; Malpighiales; Salicaceae. The record is from RNAcentral.
UAGUAAUCCUUCUUUGCAAAGUC